CCGCGAUUGCGGGGCGGCCCGGCGCCUUUUUUGUGUCUGGCGUCGGCGCGGGUGCGGCGUCAGGCGUGUUCGACGAACGCGUAGCGGCC
Molecule: transfer RNA, 89 nt
Filed under: Burkholderia seminalis
Lineage: Bacteria; Pseudomonadati; Pseudomonadota; Betaproteobacteria; Burkholderiales; Burkholderiaceae
Description: tRNA-Lys
Source: RNAcentral